GACGAACGCUGGCGGCGUGCUUAACACAUGCAAGUCGAACGGUAAGGCCUUUCGGGGUACACGAGUGGCGAACGGGUGAGUAACACGUGGGUGACCUGCCUCGAGCUCUGGGAUAAGCCUGGGAAACUGGGUCUAAUACCGGAUAUGACCUUUGGCCGCAUGGUUGGGGGUGGAAAGUUUUUCGGCUCGAGAUGGGCCCGCGGCCUAUCAGCUUGUUGGUGGGGUGAUGGCCUACCAAGGCGACGACGGGUAGCCGGCCUGAGAGGGCGACCGGCCA
Molecule: ribosomal RNA, 277 nt
Filed under: uncultured bacterium
Lineage: Bacteria
Description: partial 16S ribosomal RNA
Rfam family: Bacterial small subunit ribosomal RNA
Source: RNAcentral